RNAcentral lists this ribosomal RNA (2904 nucleotides) under Escherichia coli. RNAcentral's name for it is "23S ribosomal RNA". It matches the Rfam family "Bacterial large subunit ribosomal RNA". Lineage: Bacteria; Pseudomonadati; Pseudomonadota; Gammaproteobacteria; Enterobacterales; Enterobacteriaceae. The record is from RNAcentral.
GGUUAAGCGACUAAGCGUACACGGUGGAUGCCCUGGCAGUCAGAGGCGAUGAAGGACGUGCUAAUCUGCGAUAAGCGUCGGUAAGGUGAUAUGAACCGUUAUAACCGGCGAUUUCCGAAUGGGGAAACCCAGUGUGAUUCGUCACACUAUCAUUAACUGAAUCCAUAGGUUAAUGAGGCGAACCGGGGGAACUGAAACAUCUAAGUACCCCGAGGAAAAGAAAUCAACCGAGAUUCCCCCAGUAGCGGCGAGCGAACGGGGAGGAGCCCAGAGCCUGAAUCAGUGUGUGUGUUAGUGGAAGCGUCUGGAAAGGCGCGCGAUACAGGGUGACAGCCCCGUACACAAAAAUGCACAUGCUGUGAGCUCGAUGAGUAGGGCGGGACACGUGGUAUCCUGUCUGAAUAUGGGGGGACCAUCCUCCAAGGCUAAAUACUCCUGACUGACCGAUAGUGAACCAGUACCGUGAGGGAAAGGCGAAAAGAACCCCGGCGAGGGGAGUGAAAAAGAACCUGAAACCGUGUACGUACAAGCAGUGGGAGCACGCUUAGGCGUGUGACUGCGUACCUUUUGUAUAAUGGGUCAGCGACUUAUAUUCUGUAGCAAGGUUAACCGAAUAGGGGAGCCGAAGGGAAACCGAGUCUUAACUGGGCGUUAAGUUGCAGGGUAUAGACCCGAAACCCGGUGAUCUAGCCAUGGGCAGGUUGAAGGUUGGGUAACACUAACUGGAGGACCGAACCGACUAAUGUUGAAAAAUUAGCGGAUGACUUGUGGCUGGGGGUGAAAGGCCAAUCAAACCGGGAGAUAGCUGGUUCUCCCCGAAAGCUAUUUAGGUAGCGCCUCGUGAAUUCAUCUCCGGGGGUAGAGCACUGUUUCGGCAAGGGGGUCAUCCCGACUUACCAACCCGAUGCAAACUGCGAAUACCGGAGAAUGUUAUCACGGGAGACACACGGCGGGUGCUAACGUCCGUCGUGAAGAGGGAAACAACCCAGACCGCCAGCUAAGGUCCCAAAGUCAUGGUUAAGUGGGAAACGAUGUGGGAAGGCCCAGACAGCCAGGAUGUUGGCUUAGAAGCAGCCAUCAUUUAAAGAAAGCGUAAUAGCUCACUGGUCGAGUCGGCCUGCGCGGAAGAUGUAACGGGGCUAAACCAUGCACCGAAGCUGCGGCAGCGACGCUGAUGCGUUGUUGGGUAGGGGAGCGUUCUGUAAGCCUGCGAAGGUGUGCUGUGAGGCAUGCUGGAGGUAUCAGAAGUGCGAAUGCUGACAUAAGUAACGAUAAAGCGGGUGAAAAGCCCGCUCGCCGGAAGACCAAGGGUUCCUGUCCAACGUUAAUCGGGGCAGGGUGAGUCGACCCCUAAGGCGAGGCCGAAAGGCGUAGUCGAUGGGAAACAGGUUAAUAUUCCUGUACUUGGUGUUACUGCGAAGGGGGGACGGAGAAGGCUAUGUUGGCCGGGCGACGGUUGUCCCGGUUUAAGCGUGUAGGCUGGUUUUCCAGGCAAAUCCGGAAAAUCAAGGCUGAGGCGUGAUGACGAGGCACUACGGUGCUGAAGCAACAAAUGCCCUGCUUCCAGGAAAAGCCUCUAAGCAUCAGGUAACAUCAAAUCGUACCCCAAACCGACACAGGUGGUCAGGUAGAGAAUACCAAGGCGCUUGAGAGAACUCGGGUGAAGGAACUAGGCAAAAUGGUGCCGUAACUUCGGGAGAAGGCACGCUGAUAUGUAGGUGAAGCGACUUGCUCGUGGAGCUGAAAUCAGUCGAAGAUACCAGCUGGCUGCAACUGUUUAUUAAAAACACAGCACUGUGCAAACACGAAAGUGGACGUAUACGGUGUGACGCCUGCCCGGUGCCGGAAGGUUAAUUGAUGGGGUUAGCGCAAGCGAAGCUCUUGAUCGAAGCCCCGGUAAACGGCGGCCGUAACUAUAACGGUCCUAAGGUAGCGAAAUUCCUUGUCGGGUAAGUUCCGACCUGCACGAAUGGCGUAAUGAUGGCCAGGCUGUCUCCACCCGAGACUCAGUGAAAUUGAACUCGCUGUGAAGAUGCAGUGUACCCGCGGCAAGACGGAAAGACCCCGUGAACCUUUACUAUAGCUUGACACUGAACAUUGAGCCUUGAUGUGUAGGAUAGGUGGGAGGCUUUGAAGUGUGGACGCCAGUCUGCAUGGAGCCGACCUUGAAAUACCACCCUUUAAUGUUUGAUGUUCUAACGUGGACCCGUAAUCCGGGUUGCGGACAGUGUCUGGUGGGUAGUUUGACUGGGGCGGUCUCCUCCUAAAGAGUAACGGAGGAGCACGAAGGUUGGCUAAUCCUGGUCGGACAUCAGGAGGUUAGUGCAAUGGCAUAAGCCAGCUUGACUGCGAGCGUGACGGCGCGAGCAGGUGCGAAAGCAGGUCAUAGUGAUCCGGUGGUUCUGAAUGGAAGGGCCAUCGCUCAACGGAUAAAAGGUACUCCGGGGAUAACAGGCUGAUACCGCCCAAGAGUUCAUAUCGACGGCGGUGUUUGGCACCUCGAUGUCGGCUCAUCACAUCCUGGGGCUGAAGUAGGUCCCAAGGGUAUGGCUGUUCGCCAUUUAAAGUGGUACGCGAGCUGGGUUUAGAACGUCGUGAGACAGUUCGGUCCCUAUCUGCCGUGGGCGCUGGAGAACUGAGGGGGGCUGCUCCUAGUACGAGAGGACCGGAGUGGACGCAUCACUGGUGUUCGGGUUGUCAUGCCAAUGGCACUGCCCGGUAGCUAAAUGCGGAAGAGAUAAGUGCUGAAAGCAUCUAAGCACGAAACUUGCCCCGAGAUGAGUUCUCCCUGACUCCUUGAGAGUCCUGAAGGAACGUUGAAGACGACGACGUUGAUAGGCCGGGUGUGUAAGCGCAGCGAUGCGUUGAGCUAACCGGUACUAAUGAACCGUGAGGCUUAACCUU